AUUGAACGCUGGCGGAAUGCUUUACACAUGCAAGUCGAACGGCAGCAUAGAGAGCUUGCUCUCUGAUGGCGAGUGGCGAACGGGUGAGUAAUAUAUCGGAACGUGCCUAGUAAUGGGGAACAACUAAUCGAAAGGUUAGCUAAUACCGCAUACGACCUACGGGUGAAAGCAGGGGAUCUUCGGACCUUGCGUUAUUAGAGCGGCCGAUAUCUGAUUAGGUAGUUGGUGGGGUAAAGGCCUACCAAGCCGACGAUCAGUAGCUGGUCUGAGAGGACGAUCAGCCACACUGGAACUGAGACACGGUCCAG
RNAcentral lists this ribosomal RNA (308 nucleotides) under uncultured bacterium. RNAcentral's name for it is "bacterial SSU rRNA". It matches the Rfam family "Bacterial small subunit ribosomal RNA", at positions 30 to 334 of the family's 1533-position model. The record is from RNAcentral.